CGCUGAGGCGCGAAAGCGUGGGGAGCGAACAGGAUUAGAUACCCUGGUAGUCCACGCCGUAAACGAUGAGUGCUAAGUGUUAGAGGGUUUCCGCCCUUUAGUGCUGCAGCAAACGCAUUAAGCACUCCGCCUGGGGAGUACGGUCGCAAGACUGAAACUCAAAGGAAUUGACGGGGGCCCGCACAAGCGGUGGAGCAUGUGGUUUAAUUCGAAGCAACGCGAAGAACCUUACCAGGUCUUGACAUCCUCUGACAACCCUAGAGAUAGGGCUUCCCCUUCGGGGGCAGAGUGACAGGUGGUGCAUGGUUGUCGUCAGCUCGUGUCGUGAGAUGUUGGGUUAAGUCCCGCAACGAGCGCAACCCUUGAUCUUAGUUGCCAGCAUUCAGUUGGGCACUCUAAGGUGACUGCCGGUGACAAACCGGAGGAAGGUGGGGAUGACGUCAAAUCAUCAUGCCCCUUAUGACCUGGGCUACACACGUGCUACAAUGGGCAGAACAAAGGGCAGCGAAGCCGCGAGGCUAAGCCAAUCCCACAAAUCUGUUCUCAGUUCGGAUCGCAGUCUGCAACUCGACUGCGUGAAGCUGGAAUCGCUAGUAAUCG
This 600-nucleotide ribosomal RNA is filed under the name Bacillus sp. HuN-1. Its description in RNAcentral is "bacterial SSU rRNA". It matches the Rfam family "Bacterial small subunit ribosomal RNA", at positions 744 to 1344 of the family's 1533-position model. Lineage: Bacteria; Bacillati; Bacillota; Bacilli; Caryophanales; Bacillaceae. The record is from RNAcentral.